RNAcentral lists this small nucleolar RNA (123 nucleotides) under Pteropus vampyrus (large flying fox). The record is from RNAcentral. Lineage: Eukaryota; Metazoa; Chordata; Mammalia; Chiroptera; Pteropodidae.
GAGCACUGUUUGUGACCUGUUAGCCUGGCUGUGGCUAAUGGGUUCCAUUCCAGUGCUACAGCAGUUCCAUCGACACAUGACUGACUGGCUGGUGGCUCUCGGUGUCAGGUCUUGGAGACACAG